RNAcentral lists this long non-coding RNA (1518 nucleotides) under Sorghum bicolor (sorghum). Its description in RNAcentral is "long non-coding RNA (SBIC_LNC016223)". Lineage: Eukaryota; Viridiplantae; Streptophyta; Magnoliopsida; Poales; Poaceae. The record is from RNAcentral.
GAGAACUGAAUUGUAUUCAUACCGAGAAGCUCUAAGAUCCUCCAAGGAGACAAGCUCUCCUUGCUAGCUUUGCCUUGCUCUACUACUGAAUCUAAACUAAAGAACAAGUGUAGAAAUGUGAGGUGUAUUGCUCCAAAUGAUGGUGUGUGUGUUGAAUGGUGUGGAGCCAUCUAUUUAUAGCCCAACAACGACGGUUCAUGGCAAUCUAAAUUUGGUAGGAGGUGAAACCGUCCUAUGCAUGCCGCCAUGCAACCGCCUAAAAAAGGUGGGACCGAGUUGCCGCCACGAGGGGUGCGCCCACCUGGCCACCGCCUUCGCGUGGUCGGUUCGUCUCUGGGCCCUAAUCCUUCCCGUGGUUACGGAUGGAUCCAGUUUGGUGUUUUGGUGGCCUUUUUCAUUUAUCUUUGAUUUGUGCCUUUUCUGAAUACGCUUUCUUGAAGUGCACGUUCUUGUGUCUUUUGCGCCUUUCCACGUGUCAUACCUGAAAUUGAUAUUUGCAACAAAACUUGUGAAAAGGUUAGUUCAAAGCCCUACCAUCUAUUUAUUUUAUUUAUUAAAAUGAUGUUUAUAUUUAUAAGAUAAGGGGUACCAACAACCACCCACAUAUACGCACUACACUCUGUGCUAUUUCUAUCCUUGAGACAUGCACUUAUGCUCCUCCUACCCUGGGAGUACGCAUUCUGUUGGUAUUUCUUAUGCACAAUUAAAAUAUGAAGGAUUUCGCAAGCGCACAGAAGACCAUUGUAGCAUUUUACUGGGAGUAUUCCAGGUAUCAUUUAUUUAUAUUUUAGCACUAGGAAAUAAUGGAUAAAGAUAUUGAUAGCUCACCAUCAUGUAUCUACUAACUAAUACACCAACUAGAUUAAAGUAGGGGUAAAUAAUAGAUGAUAGGAAUUAUGAAAAUAUGACACACACCGGAGAAUUCUAUGAUAAAAGAGUAAACAGCUAAAGUGAGAGGACAACGAGAGAGUUUAAGGUUCCUAAAUACUUCUCUAUUACUAGGGUUCUAUAAUAACUAAUUCAUGGCAGGUAAAGCAAUCACACUAUGUUCCUACAACACCAAUCCAAACGUGGUGGAAUACGUCGGCCGUCAGGGCUGUCACCACCUGUGGCUACCACAACUAUCCGUAGCACUGGGUGCAAUCUCAGGUAACCUACAGUCUAGACACCAUGUCUCUGCUACAAAUUACUACUCUAGUCACAAUUAAUAACUAGAGCACCCGAUGCGAGCGGAGAUCCUAUGCUAAAGUAUAACAUCUAUACUAACCAAUAAAAUAUAAUGCAUAAAAGUAAAUAGAGAAGAUAAAAUAUAUUAAAGCAUAAGUCUUACAAGAAAAUAUACAAAGAUAUACCAGAACUCUGAUGUCUCCUCCGAAGACUCCUCCCGAAGACUCUUCCAGAACCCGAGCAUAGCGCCACUCUCCCUAACUCUCAACUAGAACUAAUCUACUAUAUUAGAAAGUUUACCCUUAAUUCUCUAGAGGUGAGAGGUCAUCCAUUCGAGGGACGCCUCUACAU